RNAcentral lists this unclassified non-coding RNA (1140 nucleotides) under Hevea brasiliensis (rubber tree). The record is from RNAcentral. Lineage: Eukaryota; Viridiplantae; Streptophyta; Magnoliopsida; Malpighiales; Euphorbiaceae.
AAGACUAUUGCAAAGAUACAGGUGCUCGAUCCCAAAUCCUUGGGUAAACUACAUGAAGUUAUUGACCCAAGUCAAUUGCCUGACUUUUUAGGUGGCUCUUGUACCUGUUCUGACGAGGGUGGUUGCCUCAGGUCUAACAAGGGUCCAUGGAGUGAUCCUGAAGUAAUGAAGCUUGUCUAUAAUGUAGAGGCAACAACUGUGAAGGAAAUCUCUAGAAAACUUGGUGACCAAAGGAAAAUUGAAUCCUAUAUACAAAUACGCCCUUCAAAGGGAAGGAGCAGAGACACAUCCACAAGUGAUUCAGUAUCGGAUGCUGCUGACUUGUGUUCACCAAUUAGAGGAAAUAGUAGCUCAAUUUUGAGGCUGACCCCAGUAGAUGAAGAAGCUAGGUCAUCAGAUUCAACAGCCUAUUGUAGCUGUGAUGAUGAAUUCAGCCUGGGUGAUCGAGGUGUCACUAAUGAGCAUGGAUUGCUGCAUUGGCAAGAGCAGUCUCCUGUGAGCAGUCCAAUGAAUCGGUCCACUAAUACAUUGCCUCAUUCUGGAGGUACCUGGGCAAUAAAUUGGUGUGAAAGAAUCCAAGAGAAGAUUCUGAGCAGCUGUUUCAGUUGUUUGGAAAGGAAACUGAUUCCUUUCAUACUUAAACUCUUUGCAUUUAUUCGUAGUCUUCCCUUCGAGUACUGGAGGAAACGGACAAAUGUUUUUCCGACUAAUGCAUUGGAAGAACGACAAGGGAGCAGUUCAUCCAUUAAUGAUGAAGCAGUUCAAAGAGUAAGGGAGAUCCAUCCAUGCAUGCAGCGUCUUCAUAAAUUGGAAAAUUUAUUGGAAGAAAUAAACAAAAAGCCCGCUGAGAUCCCAGCAGAGAAGGAUCGAAUGCUUCAUCAGUCACUUAACAGGAUCAAGUCUGUAGAAGUUGACCUAGAAAAAACAAAAAGGGUAUUGCAUGCGACGGUAUUGAAGCAACUUGAAAUUACAGAGUUAUUGGACAACCUAAAAGAGUCGAGCUUUCAUAGGCGGAGAUUGUGGUGUUGAAUAUUGUAAGGUUGGAGAUUUGAGUACCAGGACAACGCGAUGAUAACCUUUUACUGCUAACUAUGCUGCGAAGGGAGAUGUUAGCUUAUGCACCUCCAGCAGUGGUGACAA